This 770-nucleotide non-coding RNA is filed under the name Meschia woodwardi. Lineage: Eukaryota; Metazoa; Arthropoda; Insecta; Hemiptera; Meschiidae. The record is from RNAcentral.
GAAAUAUUUGAUUUUGUUAUUAAAAAUUAGCUUUAAUUUAAUGAUUAUAUGUUACUUUUUGGGGUAAAAUUAAUCUUAAUGAUUAUUUUAUUUUUGGCAGUUUUUUAUUUUAGUUUUUAAAGAAGUUUAGAUCUAGAUAAUUUUAUUUAGAACUGUAAAAAGUUGUGCCAGCAUAUGCGGUUAUACAAUUAGUUCAAUUUAAUUUUUUUGAUUUAUAUUAUAUUAAGUAUUUUUGAGAUUAUAUUUAGAAAUUAUUAGGUGAAAUUUUAAUUUUUAAUAAUCUUUGGUUUUAAUUAUUUAUAUGAAAUUUGGUUUAUAAACUAGGAUUAGAUACCCUAUUAUUCCUAAUGUAUUUUUUAUUUUUAGUAUUAAUAGUUAUGUUCUUUAAAUUAAAAAAAUUUGGCGGUAACUUAAUCUUUUCAGAGGAACCUGUUCUUUAAUUGAUAAUCCACGUUAAGUUUUACUUUAAUUAAAUUUGUAUACCUCUGUCAUUGAAUGUCUUAUUAGGGUUUAAAUUUUCUAUUUUUAUUAUUUAAUAUAUGUCAAGUCAAGGUGCAAUUAUAUUAAAGGUUGAAAUGGGUUACUUUUAAUGUUUAUUUAUUGGAUUUAAAAUUUUUAUAUUUUUAUGAAAUUGGAUUUGAAAGUAAAUUGUAUUUUUUAAUAUAAUUGAUUUUGGCUCUAAGUUAUGUACAUAUCGCCCGUCACUCUCGCCUUUAAAGUGAGAUAAGUCGUAACAAAGUAAUUUUACUGGAAAGUGAAGUUGGUUGUUA